This 515-nucleotide ribosomal RNA is filed under the name uncultured bacterium. Its description in RNAcentral is "partial 16S ribosomal RNA". It matches the Rfam family "Bacterial small subunit ribosomal RNA", at positions 28 to 523 of the family's 1533-position model. The record is from RNAcentral.
GAUGAACGCUGGCGGCGUGCCUAAUACACGCAAGUCGAGCGAAUGGAUUAAGAGCUUGCUCUUAUGAAGUUAGCGGCGGACGGGUGAGUAACACGUGGGUAACCUGCCCAUAAGACUGGGAUAACUCCGGGAAACCGGGGCUAAUACCGGAUAACAUUUUGAACCGCAUGGUUCGAAAUUGAAAGGCGGCUUCGGCUGUUACUUAUGGAUGGACCCGCGUCGCAUUAGCUAGUUGGUGAGGUAACGGCUCACCAAGGCAACGAUGCGUAGCCGACCUGAGAGGGUGAUCGGCCACACUGGGACUGAGACACGGCCCAGACUCCUACGGGAGGCAGCAGUAGGGAAUCUUCCGCAAUGGACGAAAGUCUGACGGAGCAACGCUGCGUGAGUGAUGAAGGCUUUCGGGUCGUAAAACUCUGUUGUUAGGGAAGAACAAGUGCUAGUUGAAUAAGCUGGCACCUUGACGGUACCUAACCAGAAAGCCACGGCUAACUACGUGCCAGCCGCCGCCGUAA